UUGUUGCAGUUCAACGGGCCCUUGAGAACCCUGUUGCAUGGAACUGAGGCUACUAACCCACCACCAGUGUUUCCAUAGCUGACACACUCUACUACCUGGAAACACAGCUCAGAAAAGAGCUAGAUCUCAGGAAAGGUUUCAGUUCUUGGUUUCAGAGGCCCUCAUGGCUAUGUGUUUUCCACUGCAAACCUGCCAAAAUGAGAACAAGUCCCAUGAAUCAACUGUUGCUGAAGAGGCCAGAAUCUAUCAGCAUUCAGAGAAGGCUUUCCUUCUCAUCAUGAUUUGUUUUCAUAGCUACUGUGUGAGAUCAGUUAGCGAAAGAUGGAGAAGCUCUAUACAGUCAACAAAAACAAG
This is a long non-coding RNA of Capra hircus (goat), 354 nucleotides long. RefSeq lists it as uncharacterized. The transcript is spliced from 3 exons. The record is from RefSeq and is a predicted model, not a curated record. Lineage: Eukaryota; Metazoa; Chordata; Mammalia; Artiodactyla; Bovidae.